Molecule: long non-coding RNA, 702 nt
Organism: Betta splendens (Siamese fighting fish)
Lineage: Eukaryota; Metazoa; Chordata; Actinopteri; Anabantiformes; Osphronemidae
Exons: 3
Source: RefSeq, a predicted model, not a curated record
GCUGACACUGGCCUCCAUUGCCUAUGUGACUACAGGCAUCUUCCAAUAUCUCCCAGGCUUCUAAUGCUGAUGCUGCUCGAUUAAUGUCAGCCACAAUCCAGACAGUGGAGCAACUUCCAACAAACUGAACAGACAUAACAGAAGGUCCACAAGUGUGACGUGCUGGAGAAGAGGAUUAUUAGGCACCCUGACAGUCACACACUUCACCAAGGGCCAGUACCACCUCUUCACUUUUACCUCACUGGACUCACUUCUUGUGUACUGGAUUAAUUCGACUUUCAGUUCUUUAGCCUGCAAGAAACAAUACAAUCCAUAUCAGCAAGGUUACUGGUGGAUGGUCCUGCCUGAGAAUGAAAACCAACAGCACUGUAUAUGAUUAAGCAAACAGGUUCAUUCUAUUUUGCCCUUUGACAGAAACCUAUAUGUUAAUUUUUUGAUACAAAACAAAUAAUGGUUAAACGGUUUUUCUGUUGCAGGAGAUGUCAGUGCCUCAUGUAUUCAUUAAUUCCCUGUGGAUUUAACAUCAUCUUUACCUGAGCACAAUCUGCUGCUUCUUCAACAGCCUGUUCUUGCUGUAAUAUAAAGUUAUAAGUGUGUAAGAUUUCCAUUAAACUAUUAUGCUAUUACUAAUUUGACUACACAGAUGAAUAUUACCAAUAAACAGUUGUAUUUAUAUUUUACAUGCAUAGUUUUACAUGCAAC